GACGAACGCUGGCGGCGUGCCUAAUACAUGCAAGUCGAGCGCAGGAAGUCAUCCGAACCCUUCGGGGGGACGUUGACGGAAUGAGCGGCGGACGGGUGAGUAACACGUAAAGAACCUGCCCUCAGGUCUGGGAUAACCACGAGAAAUCGGGGCUGAUACCGGAUGGGUCAUCGGACCGCAUGGUCCGAGGAUGAAAGGCGCUCCGGCGUCGCCUGGGGAUGGCUUUGCGGUGCAUUAGCUAGUUGGUGGGGUAAUGGCCCACCAAGGCGACGAUGCAUAGCCGACCUGAGAGGGUGAUCGGCCACACUGGGACUGAGACACGGCCCAGACUCCUACGGGAGGCAGCAGUAGGGAAUCUUCCACAAUGGACGAAAGUCUGAUGGAGCAACGCCGCGUGAACGAUGAAGGCCCUCGGGUCGUAAAGUUCUGUUGUAAGGGAAGAACAAGUGCCGCAGGCAAGGGCGGCACCUUGACGGUACCUUGCGAGAAAGCCACGGCUAACUACGU
RNAcentral lists this ribosomal RNA (507 nucleotides) under uncultured bacterium. RNAcentral's name for it is "partial 16S ribosomal RNA". It matches the Rfam family "Bacterial small subunit ribosomal RNA", at positions 28 to 506 of the family's 1533-position model. The record is from RNAcentral.